AGUGAACGCUGGCGGUAGGCCUAACACAUGCAAGUCGAACGGCAGCACAGUAAGAGCUUGCUCUUACGGGUGGCGAGUGGCGGACGGGUGAGGAAUACAUCGGAAUCUACUUUUUCGUGGGGGAUCACGUAGGGAAACUUACGCUAAUACCGCAGACGACCUACGGGUGAAAGCAGGGGAUCUUCGGACCUUGCGCGAUUGAAUGAGCCGAUGUCGGAUUAGCUAGUUGGCGGGGUAAAGGCCCACCAAGGCGACGAUCCGUGGCUGGUCUGAGAGGAUGAUCGGCCACACUGGAACUGGGACACGGUCCAGACUCCUAAGGGAGGCAGCAGUGGGGAAUAUUAGACAAUGGGCGCAAGCCUGAUCCAGCCGUACCGCGUGGGUGAAGAAGGCCUUGGGGUUGUAAAGACCUUUUGUUGGUAGAGAAAAGCAGCAGGUUAAUACCCCGCUGUUCUGACGGUACCCAAAGAAUAAGCACCGGCUAACUUCGUG
RNAcentral lists this ribosomal RNA (492 nucleotides) under uncultured bacterium. Its description in RNAcentral is "partial 16S ribosomal RNA". It matches the Rfam family "Bacterial small subunit ribosomal RNA", at positions 29 to 507 of the family's 1533-position model. The record is from RNAcentral.